This 394-nucleotide unclassified non-coding RNA is filed under the name fungal sp. RNAcentral describes it as "partial internal transcribed spacer region". The stretch from base 1 to 46 matches the Rfam family "Eukaryotic small subunit ribosomal RNA", at positions 1786 to 1831 of the family's 1831-position model. The record is from RNAcentral. Lineage: Eukaryota; Fungi.
AAGUCGUAACAAGGUUUCCGUAGGUGAACCUGCGGAAGGAUCAUUAACACGUAUCCACGUAUCAAACAACAAUCCGUGAACCAAACCUUCCCUGAUUAUUGAUAUAACCGUUCAUAAUAGUAACUCGUGAUGGUGUACUUUCGGGUACAGGUGAAAUUAUGAGCUAGUUAACCUUGAGUUAACAGUUGCAUCAAUAAUUGGGCCUAUUGACACUUAAGCCCCAUCAUGUAACUCCAUUCAUGGUACAUGUAUGGUUGUGCUUAGGUGCGACACACCCCUUUAUUAACCAUUAUAACCCUAUUUGACUGAUGUACAGUGAGUAGAGCGAAAGUUCUUACUCUGCUGAGAUUAUCUAAACUAAGCACAACUCUUAGCAAUGGAUAUCUUGGUUCUC